This 527-nucleotide ribosomal RNA is filed under the name uncultured bacterium. Its description in RNAcentral is "bacterial SSU rRNA". It matches the Rfam family "Bacterial small subunit ribosomal RNA", at positions 28 to 526 of the family's 1533-position model. The record is from RNAcentral.
GACGAACGCUGGCGGCGUGCCUAAUACAUGCAAGUCGAGCGCAGGAAGCCGUCUGAACCCUUCGGGGGGACGACGGUGGAAUGAGCGGCGGACGGGUGAGUAACACGUAAAGAACCUGCCCAUAGGUCUGGGAUAACCACGAGAAAUCGGGGCUAAUACCGGAUGUGUCAUCGGACCGCAUGGUCCGCUGAUGAAAGGCGCUCCGGCGUCGCCCAUGGAUGGCUUUGCGGUGCAUUAGCUAGUUGGUGGGGUAACGGCCCACCAAGGCGACGAUGCAUAGCCGACCUGAGAGGGUGAUCGGCCACACUGGGACUGAGACACGGCCCAGACUCCUACGGGAGGCAGCAGUAGGGAAUCUUCCACAAUGGACGAAAGUCUGAUGGAGCAACGCCGCGUGAACGAUGAAGGCUUUCGGGUCGUAAAGUUCUGUUGUAAGGGAAGAACAAGUGCCGCAGGCAAUGGCGGCACCUUGACGGUACCUUGCGAGAAAGCCACGGCUAACUACGUGCCAGCCGCCGCCGUAACAC